Molecule: long non-coding RNA, 1429 nt
Organism: Ostrinia nubilalis (European corn borer)
Lineage: Eukaryota; Metazoa; Arthropoda; Insecta; Lepidoptera; Crambidae
Exons: 2
Source: RefSeq, a predicted model, not a curated record
UCGUAAAAUAAAUAAAAUUUGAUAUGUAAACAAAAUAUGAUUACGUCAUUUUAAAAAGUACUCAUUGUACAUGUAAAUGCUUAAAACAUGUAGCAUAUUUAAUUUGGUUGGAUUAUAGGUUUCAUUCAUUCAUUCACAUCUAUUUUUUAUGACGUAAAGGGCUUGAAAAAUGUCGAUAAGUUUAUCGAUAUACCAAACAAACUGAAACUGAAAUUAUUCAAAUUAAUUUAAGAUUUCCAGUGGAUCCAAAUAGAAGGAGAAAGUGGAUAGAGGCAGUCAGAAGACAAAAUACGUGGAUUCCAACUAAAAACCACUGCAUUUGUAGCAUUCAUUUUGCGGAAGAAUGCUACAAUGCCAAUUCUACGAAACAGAGAAAACUGCACAAAGAUUCUUUACCUACAUUGAAUUUGCCUAAAUUUGUUUUAUUUUCGGUAUGCAAUACCGAGGUGGAACCUUUUAGAUCUGUGUCAUCCCUCACGUUUAGUGAAAUACCGGGGUGGUUGGAACUUGAUUUGGUCCAUCCUGUCAUCAACUGUUUUUCAAUGGGACGACUUCUGAACAUCAGAGAUCUUAACUGUCAAGAUAAGUGAAUUAGGCCACUGAACUUUUCAAAACAAAACCAACACAGGUGAAAUAUCUGAGCAUCUCCCUUGACAACAAAUUGAACUGGGCGAGUCAUAUCGACAACAUGCAUAGUGCCUAGCAAACAUAGCGGCCAUGGGUUGUAUGAGAACCACUCUAUCGGCAUCACUUGACUUCUUUCUGAAUCUCAGACAUUUAGACCUCAUUAUUCAGGAGGAAGCACAAGCACCCACUCUAAGACUUAAAGGAAACGAUCUAUGAAAGCAAAACAAGGAGACAGGAUAUUCCGCGAUUCUGCACAAAACCCUAAAAGAAAUACCCCUCAUCAACAGGAUAGGUACCCUGUGUACACAUCUUCGACCAAAGAUAAUAUCCAGCUUACAGCGGAAACGCGAAAUUGCUCUGGAAUCAAUGAAGUUAGGAUAUACCGACGUCUUCAAAACCGAAAUAAGUACUGGGAGGUCUUCUCGAAUGACCUAAACAUAAGAAUAUCAACAACAUUAGAUAAGAAUUAAAUAAUAUCAGAUAGUGCAUCCGUACUGCAAGCGCUACAAAGCAAUACAUUGUCAUAAUGUUAUCAAAUUGUGUUUCAUGAAAUGUAUAGAAAUAGGCUAUUGAUGAAACUUUUGUCCGUGACGUGAGACAGAUUAUAACAUUUGUUGAGACCAAAAGCUAGUUAGCAGUCGAUCGUAACAGAAUAUUACUUGUUUAUUGCUUUACGAAUUUUAUAAUAAUAACACAGCAAAAAAAUAUUUCACCUAGUUACCUACCUAUAUGAAUAAUUUGUAAUAUUAUUUGUACCUAUGAUUUACCAAUGGCACUAUAAUAAACACGAUACAAUAAUUAA